AGGAAGGUGGGGAUGACGUCAAGUCCUCAUGGCCUUUAUGCCCAGGGCUACACACGUGCUACAAUGGCCGGUACCAAAGGGCUGCAAAACCGCGAGGUAGAGCUAAUCCCAAAAAGCCGGUCUCAGUUCGGAUCGGAGUCUGCAACUCGACUCCGUGAAGGUGGAAUCGCUAGUAAUCCCGGAUCAGCAUGCCGGGGUGAAUACGUUCCCGGGUCUU
RNAcentral lists this ribosomal RNA (217 nucleotides) under uncultured Desulfarculus sp. RNAcentral describes it as "partial 16S ribosomal RNA". It matches the Rfam family "Bacterial small subunit ribosomal RNA", at positions 1167 to 1382 of the family's 1533-position model. The record is from RNAcentral. Lineage: Bacteria; Pseudomonadati; Thermodesulfobacteriota; Desulfarculia; Desulfarculales; Desulfarculaceae.